This 72-nucleotide transfer RNA is filed under the name Cylindrospermopsis raciborskii PAMP2011. RNAcentral describes it as "tRNA-Thr". It matches the Rfam family "tRNA". Rfam says of the family: Transfer RNA (tRNA) molecules are approximately 80 nucleotides in length. Their secondary structure includes four short double-helical elements and three loops (D, anti-codon, and T loops). The record is from RNAcentral. Lineage: Bacteria; Bacillati; Cyanobacteriota; Cyanophyceae; Nostocales; Aphanizomenonaceae.
GGCUCUAUGGUGUAUUGGUUAGCAUAUCGGACCUGUAAUCCGUUGGACUGAGUUCGAUUCUCAGUGGAGCCU